RNAcentral lists this ribosomal RNA (465 nucleotides) under uncultured bacterium. RNAcentral describes it as "bacterial SSU rRNA". It matches the Rfam family "Bacterial small subunit ribosomal RNA", at positions 338 to 795 of the family's 1533-position model. The record is from RNAcentral.
CCUACGGGAGGCACCAGUGGGGAAUAUUGCACAAUGGGCGCAAGCCUGAUGCAGCCAUGCCGCGUGUGUGAAGAAGGCCUUCGGGUUGUAGAGCACUUUCAGCGAGGAGGAAGGUGGGGAGCUUAAUACGCUCAUCAAUUGACGUUACUCGCAGAAGACGCACCGGCUAACUCCGUGCCAGCAGCCGCGGUAAUACGGAGGGUGCAAGCGUUAAUCGGAAUUACUGGGCGUAAAGCGCACGCAGGCGGUUUGUUCAGUCAGAUGUGAAAUCCCCGGGCUCAACCUGGGAACUGCAUUUGAAACUGGCAAGCUAGAGUCUCGUAGAGGGGGGUAGAAUUCCAGGUGUAGCGGUGAAAUGCGUAGAGAUCUGGGGGAAUACCGGUGGCGAAGGCGGCCCCCUGGACGAAGACUGACGCUCAGGUGCGAAAGCGUGGGGAGCAAACAGGAUUAGAUACCCGUGUAGUC